GAUGAACGCUGGCGGCGUGCCUAAUACAUGCAAGUCGAGCGAACAGACGAGGAGCUUGCUCCUCUGACGUUAGCGGCGGACGGGUGAGUAACACGUGGAUAACCUACCUAUAAGACUGGGAUAACUUCGGGAAACCGGAGCUAAUACCGGAUAACAUGUUGAACCGCAUGGUUCAACAGUGAAAGACGGUUUUGCUGUCACUUAUAGAUGGAUCCGCGUCGCAUUAGCUAGUUGGUAAGGUAACGGCUUACCAAGGGGACGAUGCGUAGCCGACCUGAGAGGGUGAUAGGCCACACGGGAACGUGGACACGGACCAUACUCCUACGGGAGGCAGCAGUAGGGAAUCUUCCGCAAUGGGCGGAAGCCUGACGGAGCAACGCGGCGUGAGUGAAGAAGGUCUUCGGAUCGUAAAACUCUGUUAUUAGGGAAGAACAAAUGUGUAAGUAACUAUGCACGUCUUGACGGUACCUAAUCAGAAAGCCACGGCUAACUACGUG
This 497-nucleotide ribosomal RNA is filed under the name uncultured bacterium. RNAcentral's name for it is "partial 16S ribosomal RNA". It matches the Rfam family "Bacterial small subunit ribosomal RNA", at positions 28 to 507 of the family's 1533-position model. The record is from RNAcentral.